RNAcentral lists this transfer RNA (73 nucleotides) under Microcaldota archaeon. Its description in RNAcentral is "tRNA-Pro". It matches the Rfam family "tRNA". From Rfam's summary of the family: Transfer RNA (tRNA) molecules are approximately 80 nucleotides in length. Their secondary structure includes four short double-helical elements and three loops (D, anti-codon, and T loops). Further hydrogen bonds mediate the characteristic L-shaped molecular structure. tRNAs have two regions of fundamental functional importance: the anti-codon, which is responsible for specific mRNA codon recognition, and the 3' end, to which the tRNAs corresponding amino acid is attached (by aminoacyl-tRNA synthetases). tRNAs cope with the degeneracy of the genetic code in two manners: having more than one tRNA (with a specific anti-codon) for a particular amino acid; and 'wobble' base-pairing, i.e. permitting non-standard base-pairing at the 3rd anti-codon position. The record is from RNAcentral. Lineage: Archaea; Nanobdellati; Microcaldota.
GGGGCCGUGGGCUAACCUGGUAUGCUACCAGGUUCGGGACCUGGUGAUCUGAGUUCAAAUCUCAGCGGCCCCA